AUGGAUCUGCUCCAAGCACCUCAAGCGACGCAUCUUCAAGGUGAUCACUUCAUCCACAUUCAAUCUCAGUUCCCGCGUUUACUCCGAGGAGAGUUUAAAAGCAGCAGGAGCAUUUGUUCUACUGCUGGUCGGAGGGAGAGCUUGGCAAGGGAGAUAGAGGGAGCUCUACAACCACGAUCUUGGCAUACAACCCGAUGGCAUCAUGCCCACCUUGUGUGUUUCAUUGAUGGAGGAGGUAUAAAUCUGUUCCUUAAAGCGAGCAAAUCAAAACAAAAGCGCAGGAGGUAUCCGACAACACUGACGACCGCUACACCAUUCCACUUAGACCUGAAGGCAACAUCAAAGGGUGCCACCAACAGCAGAGGUCGAAUGUUUCACCAGGUACAAAAUUGGACAUCAUGUGAGGUGUUAUGCUCAACCCCAACCAGUUCAAAGGCAACACUGGUGGUGGUCCUCUGA
Molecule: ribosomal RNA, 459 nt
Filed under: Triticum aestivum (bread wheat)
Lineage: Eukaryota; Viridiplantae; Streptophyta; Magnoliopsida; Poales; Poaceae
Description: partial small subunit ribosomal RNA
Source: RNAcentral